RNAcentral lists this ribosomal RNA (1009 nucleotides) under Sphaerimonospora mesophila. Its description in RNAcentral is "bacterial SSU rRNA". It matches the Rfam family "Bacterial small subunit ribosomal RNA", at positions 37 to 1062 of the family's 1533-position model. The record is from RNAcentral. Lineage: Bacteria; Bacillati; Actinomycetota; Actinomycetes; Streptosporangiales; Streptosporangiaceae.
GGAAGGUGCGCGUGGCUACCAUGCAAGUCGAGCGGAAGGCCCUUCGGGGUACUCGAGCGGCGAACGGGUGAGUAACACGUGAGUAACCUGCCCCUGACUCUGGGAUAAGCCUGGGAAACCGGGUCUAAUACUGGAUAUGACCACUCCGGGCAUCUGGUGGUGGUGGAAAGUUUUUCGGUUGGGGAUGGGCUCGCGGCCUAUCAGCUUGUUGGUGGGGUGAUGGCCUACCAAGGCGACGACGGGUAGCCGGCCUGAGAGGGCGACCGGCCACACUGGGACUGAGACACGGCCCAGACUCCUACGGGAGGCAGCAGUGGGGAAUAUUGCGCAAUGGGCGGAAGCCUGACGCAGCGACGCCGCGUGGGGGAUGACGGCCUUCGGGUUGUAAACCUCUUUCGGCAGGGACGAAGUUGACGUGUACCUGUGGAAGAAGCGCCGGCUAACUACGUGCCAGCAGCCGCGGUAAUACGUAGGGCGCAAGCGUUGUCCGGAAUUAUUGGGCGUAAAGAGCUCGUAGGUGGCUUGUCGCGUCUGCCGUGAAAGCCCGUGGCUUAACUACGGGUCUGCGGUGGAUACGGGCAGGCUAGAGGCUGGUAGGGGCAAGUGGAAUUCCUGGUGUAGCGGUGAAAUGCGCAGAUAUCAGGAGGAACACCGGUGGCGAAGGCGGCUUGCUGGGCCAGUUCUGACGCUGAGGAGCGAAAGCGUGGGGAGCGAACAGGAUUAGAUACCCUGGUAGUCCACGCUGUACACGUUGGGCGCUAGGUGUGGGGGUCUUCCAUGGCUCCUGUGCCGUAGCUAACGCAUUACGCGCCCCGCCUGGAGAGUACGGUCGCCAGGCUAAAACUCAAAGGAAUUGACGGGGGCCCGCACAAGCGGCUGAACACGUUGAUCAAUAAGACGCAACGCAAACAACCUUUACCCCGGUUCGACAUAUAUUAGGAGCCCUUCUGAGACCGUUGUUCCUUUCUGGGCGCGUUUUUCAGUUGUCGCCUGGGCUGUCUUCAGUUCU